Molecule: non-coding RNA, 31 nt
Filed under: Mus musculus (house mouse)
Lineage: Eukaryota; Metazoa; Chordata; Mammalia; Rodentia; Muridae
Source: RNAcentral
UGUUUGCCCUCUAGAAACAAAGUCAGCAUGG